GCUGUACAAAACCCAUGAUCACGAACAAGAAAAGAUGAUGGAGAAAGAUUGUGAGAGAGAAAAAAAAAAAAAAAUGUGUUAUAGAGAAGGAUCAACAAGGGGUGAAGAUUAUUCUGGAGGUCUGUCUGUCAGUAUCUCCUGAGCUUUUGCAGCCUGUACAUUAUCCCGACAGUGAAGCAUUAACCGAAAACAACCGCGGAGAUGAGGAAAAACACAGAAGAGAAAGAAGAAAAAGGAGAAAACGAAGAGGAACACGAGGAGGAUGAAGAUGAAUCAGUAGCAUCGAUUUGUUGGUGGAAGACUACAGAAUACUUGAACUAUAUGCAGUAACUCUGACACUGUCAGGAAAUAAACUUUGGAAGAAAUCCUACCUGAAGAACUGCAGCAGUAGAAAGUAGUACAUCAUGAUAUUAUGAUUUUUUUUUUUUUGUCUGCAUAAUGGAAAACUGGUCUGGAUUUUUGUGAGUGAAAGUCAGAAAUGGGAUGGUGU
Octopus bimaculoides (California two-spot octopus) is the source of this 490-nucleotide long non-coding RNA. The record is from RefSeq and is a predicted model, not a curated record. Lineage: Eukaryota; Metazoa; Mollusca; Cephalopoda; Octopoda; Octopodidae.